This 351-nucleotide unclassified non-coding RNA is filed under the name soil metagenome. RNAcentral describes it as "partial contains 5.8S ribosomal RNA, internal transcribed spacer 2, and large subunit ribosomal RNA". The stretch from base 1 to 120 matches the Rfam family "5.8S ribosomal RNA", at positions 35 to 154 of the family's 154-position model. The record is from RNAcentral.
GAUGAAGAACGUAGCGAAAUGCGAUAAGUAAUGUGAAUUGCAGAAUUCAGUGAAUCAUCGAAUCUUUGAACGCACAUUGCGCCCGCCAGUAUUCUGGCGGGCAUGCCUGUUCGAGCGUCAUUACAACCCUCAGGCCCCCGGGCCUGGCGUUGGGGAUCGGCGGAGCCCCCCGUGGGCACACGCCGUCCCCCAAAUGCAGUGGCGGUCCCGCCGCAGCUUCCAUCGCGUAGUAGCUAACACCUCGCGACUGGAGAGCGGCGCGGCCACGCCGUAAAACACCCAACUCUUCUGAAGUUGACCUCGAAUCAGGUAGGAAUACCCGCUGAACUUAAGCAUAUCAAUAACGGAGGA